CCUACGGGUGGCAGCAGUGAGGAAUAUUGGUCAAUGGGCGAGAGCCUGAACCAGCCAAGUCGCGUGAGGGAAGACGGUCCUACGGAUUGUAAACCUCUUUUGUCAGGGAGCAAGGAGCGCCACGAGUGGUGCGGCGAGAGUACCUGAAGAAAAAGCAUCGGCUAACUCCGUGCCAGCAGCCGCGGUAAUACGGAGGAUGCGAGCGUUAUCCGGAGUUAUUGGGUUUAAAGGGUGCGCAGGCGGAAGCGGAAAGUCAGCGGGAAAAUUGCGGGGCUAAACCGUGCCGAGCCGUUGAAACUGCUCGUCUAGAGUGGGCGAGAAGUAUGCGGAAUGCGUGGUGUAGCGGUGAAAUGCAUAGAUAUCACGCAGAACUCCGAUUGCGAAGGCAGCAUACCGGCGCCCAACUGACGCUCAUGCACGAAAGCGUGGGUAUCGAACAGGAUUAGAUACCCUUGUAGUC
This 460-nucleotide ribosomal RNA is filed under the name uncultured bacterium. RNAcentral describes it as "partial 16S ribosomal RNA". It matches the Rfam family "Bacterial small subunit ribosomal RNA", at positions 338 to 795 of the family's 1533-position model. The record is from RNAcentral.